UAAAAGCAUGGUCCCGACUUUUAUGUCAACUACAGCCAAACUUACACAUGCAAGUAUCCGCAUACCAGUGAGAAUGCCCUCAACCCCAAAUGGAUGAGAGGAGCUGGCAUCAGGCACGCACCAGCAGCCCAAGACGCCUUGCUCAGCCACACCCCCAAGGGUCCUCAGCAGUGAUUAACAUUAAAAAUGAGUGAAAGCUCGACUUAGUUAUGGCUAAAAGAGCCGGUUAAACUCGUGCCAGCCGCCGCGGUUAUACGAGAGGCCCGAGCUGACAUCAUCGGCGUAAAGCGUGAUUAUAGGAGAUAAAAAAUAAAGUCAAAAGAUCUCAAGGCCGUUAUACGCAUAUUGAGAUUCGUAGGCUCAGAAACGAAAGUAACUUUAAACUAAAGCCCUAGAACUCACGACAGCUAGGAAACAAACUGGGAUUAGAUACCCCACUAUGCCUAGUCAUAAACUUUGACGGUAAUACACACAUACCGUUCGCCAGGGAACUACAAGCGCAUUGCUUAAAACCCAACGGACUUGGCGGUGCCCCACACUCCACCUAGAGGAGCCUGUUCUAUAACUGAAACUACCCGUUAAACCUCACCACCCCUAGCCUACUCAGUCUAUAUACCGCCGUCGCAAGCCCACCCUGUGAAGGACUAAUAAUAAGCAAGACGGGCAUAACCCAAAACGUCAGGUCGAGGUGUAGCACAUGGGGUGGAAAGAAAUGGGCUACAUUUUCUGGUCACAGAAUACACGAAUAUCUGUUAUGAAAUACAUCAAUUGAAGGAGGAUUUAGCAGUAAAAAGAAAAUAGAGAGUUCUUUUGAAAUUGGCUCUGGGGCGCGCACACACCGCCCGUCACUCUCUGCCUCAUACACACACAAGCCGCAAGUACUAAAUAAUUUACCCAUGGCUACAACUAUGGCGGAGACAAGUCGUAACACGGUAAGUGUACCGGAAGGUGCACUUGGAUCAAU
RNAcentral lists this non-coding RNA (964 nucleotides) under Heterotis niloticus (African bonytongue). RNAcentral describes it as "12S rRNA". It matches the Rfam family "Bacterial small subunit ribosomal RNA". Lineage: Eukaryota; Metazoa; Chordata; Actinopteri; Osteoglossiformes; Osteoglossidae. The record is from RNAcentral.